This is a long non-coding RNA of Teleopsis dalmanni, 244 nucleotides long. RefSeq lists it as uncharacterized. The record is from RefSeq and is a predicted model, not a curated record. Lineage: Eukaryota; Metazoa; Arthropoda; Insecta; Diptera; Diopsidae. The transcript has 2 exons.
AAACAAACAAUCAAAAUUCAAAACAAACAACAGGUUAACAUCAGGAAAGCAAUAAUUGAGAUCUCACAAGUUUGAUUUAUAAAUUUGAAAUUGUGUUUAAUGUAAAACAAAAAAAUAUUACCCGGAAUGCGUGUGGAACCGUAGAACUAUGGGAAGAAAAUCUUCUUCCCUAAAAAAGUGAAACAGGUUUUAUGGUAACCGCGUCCGAAGUGCAAACGAAAGUGCACUUCACCCAACAUUUUAG